UUACGGUCAAAUCACGCUGAAAACACCGGUUCUCGUUCGAUCACCGAAGUUAAGCAUCGUAGAGCCAGGUCAGUAUUG
Acanthosepion pharaonis is the source of this 78-nucleotide non-coding RNA. The record is from the annotation of a GenBank genome assembly. Lineage: Eukaryota; Metazoa; Mollusca; Cephalopoda; Sepiida; Sepiidae.